This 497-nucleotide ribosomal RNA is filed under the name uncultured bacterium. RNAcentral's name for it is "partial 16S ribosomal RNA". It matches the Rfam family "Bacterial small subunit ribosomal RNA", at positions 28 to 507 of the family's 1533-position model. The record is from RNAcentral.
GAUGAACGCUGGCGGCGUGCCUAAUACAUGCAAGUCGAGCGGACAGACGCGGAGCUUGUUUCUUUGUUGUUAGGCGCAGGCGGGAGAGUCACACGUGUAUCACCUACCUAUAAGACUGGGAUAAUUUCGGGACACCGGCUCUUAUACCGGAUAAUCUUUUGCUCCGCAUGGUUAAUAGGUGAAAUACGGUCUUGGUGUAUCUUAUAGCUGGAUCCGCGCUGCAUUAGGUAGUUGUUACGGUAACGGGUUACCAAGGCAACGAUGCAUAGCCGACGGGAGGGGGUGAUAGGCCACACGAGAGCUGGAACACGGUCCAGAGGCCUGCGGGAGGCAGCAGUAGGGAAUCGGAGGCAAUGGGCGGAAACCUGACAGAGCAACGCGGAGUGAGAGAUGAAAGUCUUCGGAUCGUAAAACUCUGCUAUGAGGUAAGAACAGAUGUGGAAGUAACUGAGCACAGCGUGACGGUACCUAAUCAGAAAGCCCCGGCUAACUACGUG